GAGCCCAGCAGUUUUUUCCCUCUGCUGGAAGACAGAGAGGUAUAGUAUAUGCUAUACAGACAGAGCUAUAUGUGCUUCUAAACCACCCUCAGGUAUGGUGGAAGAAGCCUCGGGCAGCAAAAUGUCUUGGGCCAGCCCUGAAUGCAGUAAGCCAUCUGAAUGGCAUGCUUUCACUCCUUUAAGGAACUGGUAAAUCAGAUCCAGGGAACUGGGGAAAUAUAUGCUUUCUUUGUAUGUUAUGUUUUGUUUUCUAAGCCCCUCCCCCCCUUUCUAACCCCUUGCCUCAGAGAGAGAUAUUUUCACCUCCCAUGGCUGGCACGCGAAAGCCGGCCUUGCCAGUCACAACCAAGAGGCUUUUUGCGCGGCCAGCUGGGAUUGUUCUGACAGUUUUGCCUUCUCGUCACAUCAUCCUGUCAUCACCCUCCUCCUCUUCCUUAGAUCAGCCUCCCAUUUUUCGGCAUUAGGGGUCAGGGUCAAGACGUAAUGAGGAACAUCACAAUGGAAGGACACUUUUUACCUCAGCGGCAGAGAGGGAUCUGGAAGUUAUGCUGUGAUCCAACGGCCAGCACUGGAGGCAGCAAAACACAGUAGUGGGGGGGGGCGACGACUCCAGAUGCUGAUACAAGAUCUGUCCACUCAGUUUAAAAACUAUGGGAAUGUUAAUGGUCAUACAUAAAUAUGACACACACUCUUUCUCUUUUUCUACAGUAUGAUCAUCCUUUCUAGACAAAUGCAAUUCUAUCAGUCAAAACUGCAGGAUGCUAAUUAGGGCAUUUGAAACAAUGCUACGUAUGAUUUGUGCAAUUCUGUCCACUGGCAAGAACUUUCUGCUGAUGGAUUAGAAUUUGCAUUUUUGCUCAUUCUUAAGAGCUAUAAAGGGAGGGCACAACUUGAUGCGACACUUGUGCUCAGUGGCUCUUACUUCCUAUUCAUGUUUUUUUAAAACUGAAAAGCAGCCUUGGAGGCCCAAAUCAAGAUUGGAGAAAAAGCAAGCAAGCACUGAUUGCUUCUUUCCUGUAAAAAUGGUACAGGGCUGCCAUGCCAAGCACAAGCUGCUUCCAUACCAGCAGAAGAAAAUAUAUGGGGGCCCUGUAUCUUUUUCCCUUGUGGGGAGAAAAACAACCCAGAGAGCACAAUUUUGAGCUGGAAAACAAUGGAACAAGAACACGGUUGCCAACUUGAAUAAAAUACUGUUGGGGAAGUAAACCCCACUCUGCAUAAUUGAUCACAAGACACACACAUGCACCAUUUGAAUGGCAAUGUCCAUGAACUUGGGGUGGGGCCCUCAAAUAUUUUACUGGGAGGGUUGAAUGGACCUUGGCUGCUAGGAGUUGGCUCCUAUGAACAGGAAAGUGCUCAACAGCCACUAGCUCUUUCUUCCUCAUACUUGGCAGUGUGCCAAGAGCUCCUAUUGUUUAAAAAUGCACAAAUUCACCCUCAUAGAACUCCAUUUAAUUUGGCCCCAGCACUGAAGAAUCAGAAGUUCAUGGGGUUAGCUGGGGCAUCUCCAGUCCUAUAUGGGAAACUCAAAUGACAAUCUAGCUACGCUAAUCAUGGAAAGAAGGAACAUAAGAAGAACCCGUUAGAUCAGAUCAAUGGCCCAUCCAAUCUAUCAUCCUGGUCUCUGGGGCCAACCAGUUGCCUGUGGGAAACCUGCAAGCAGGAUUUGAGAACAAGAGCAAUCACCCCUGUGGUGGCAGUAAUGCUUCUGCUGGAAACCUAUAUAUUUUUAAUCCAUAUAACUCUGGGGGCAAAGAGGGGGGUUAUUUUUAAAUAUGUUUCUUAAGAGAAACAGUUCAGUUCACAUCAUUGUCAAUACAGUCCAGAUCGCAAAAGGAUGGACUUAGACCUAGGAAACUUGAAUUCCAGUCACAGUUCUGGCAUGGCUUCAAAAGCUGGCCUUGGUAAGAUCAGUACUUCCCACUAUAGGUAUAAACCAGCAGUGGUCAACACAGUGUCCUCCAGAUGAUGUUGAACUCCAACUUCCAUCAACUCCAGCCAGCAUGGCCAAUUUUGUCUGGGAUGGUGGGAGGUGAAGUCAAAAAAUGUCUGGCUUACAGACCAGAUGAACAAAGAAAUGUAAAGCAUUUUCUAUUAUUGGAGAGCAUACUACAGCACUUUGGGAAAAAAUUACAAGAAGCUUCUUAUACAUCCUUAAUAUGGAGUGAAAUUAAACUAGACUUGAACCAAAACUACGUAUUCUUUUGCUAAUGUUUUCCCUGGCCCUGACAAACUCUUCCUAUUCUUAGCUCCUUUCCCCCCAGCUGCUCUUAGUCAUCCACACUGCCCAUAUUUCACUAUAUGCUCAACUGCCCUCUCUGGCCCUCAGUGAUGUCAUCAUGCAGCUAAAUCUGACUGGCUGCAUAACAUUAUGAUGUCAACCUCUUCACCAUGGAACCCCUGACUGUAUGAGAUUACCUACGUGACUUGCUCCAGGGAUGGAAGAAGCAACAGCUUCAGCAAGAGAAAACAAUGGUGCCAAACAAGCUUUUUAAAAAGUUUUCAUUCUCUUCAUCCAAGUCCUUCAGCAGAACAGCCAGUUCUCUCUGGGGUGGCAAAGUACAGAGAAAAUAUGGAAUAGCAAAAUAAAUAUAAUAGUGGGGAGGGAGCACAUUUCCUUCCUUUCACUCCUA
Podarcis raffonei (Aeolian wall lizard) is the source of this 2633-nucleotide long non-coding RNA. RefSeq lists it as uncharacterized. The transcript has 2 exons. NCBI's taxonomy places the organism in Eukaryota, Metazoa, Chordata, Lepidosauria, Squamata, Lacertidae. The record is from RefSeq and is a predicted model, not a curated record.